Molecule: long non-coding RNA, 622 nt
Organism: Salvia miltiorrhiza (redroot sage)
Lineage: Eukaryota; Viridiplantae; Streptophyta; Magnoliopsida; Lamiales; Lamiaceae
Exons: 3
Source: RefSeq, a predicted model, not a curated record
CUUGAAUGAUGUGAGCAUCAGCAGAGAUGUUGGAGAUGACUUGGAAGGUUGCUGAUGAAGAAUCCUGGUUGUCGAAGAAGCCUACUUCUUGUCUGAGAACUGAUUUUAGAUAUUCUGUCCGAAUUCUUGAGGCAAGUCAUCUGUACCUUGUCCACCACCUCACGCUCGAUGGACCGGCUAAACUGCCCGAACGCGUCUAUUGCUCCACUCGUCACGUACAUGGUGAGUGGAGACGCCAGCCCUUCUCCGACGCUGCCAAGAACACCGAGAAACAUGAGCAGCUUGUCGACACCGUCUGCAAACCGGAACACCCCACCUUUCUUCCCCAUUUUUCUACCUCAACACUGAGAUGUUUAACGGCUCAAAAUGUUCGUGUCCGAACGCGAAGAUCAACGAGCGCGAUUUUUCUAGUUUUUGACAGAGGCUUUGCUGUUUGAAAGGGGAAGAAGAAGCAGUCACAGUGCAAACGGCGGCAUCCAUUUCAUCUGAUGCAGCAUGUAAAUGUCAUAACCAAAUAUAUGAAUACAUGCAUGCAUGCAUGGAAUGAAUCUGAGAAUUUUAUAACAUCGUGUAUCAAAUCCCAACAUUUGUGACUUACAACUUAAUUACAAUAUAGUUUUGU